GUGGGCGUAGCUCAACGGUUAGAGCAUUGGACUGUGGAUCCAGAGGUUGGGGGUUCGAAUCCCCUCGCUCACCCCA
This 76-nucleotide transfer RNA is filed under the name Candidatus Psychracetigena formicireducens. Its description in RNAcentral is "tRNA-His". It matches the Rfam family "tRNA". Rfam says of the family: Transfer RNA (tRNA) molecules are approximately 80 nucleotides in length. Their secondary structure includes four short double-helical elements and three loops (D, anti-codon, and T loops). Further hydrogen bonds mediate the characteristic L-shaped molecular structure. tRNAs have two regions of fundamental functional importance: the anti-codon, which is responsible for specific mRNA codon recognition, and the 3' end, to which the tRNAs corresponding amino acid is attached (by aminoacyl-tRNA synthetases). tRNAs cope with the degeneracy of the genetic code in two manners: having more than one tRNA (with a specific anti-codon) for a particular amino acid; and 'wobble' base-pairing, i.e. permitting non-standard base-pairing at the 3rd anti-codon position. Lineage: Bacteria; Bacillati; Candidatus Lithacetigenota. The record is from RNAcentral.